UCUCGAAGUCAUUCUUUGUGGAGUAUUCGAAGUGAGUGGUCGGUAGACGGCUGUUCGUGCCGUAGCCAAGUGGGUGCAUCGCAUACGAGAAAGCGGAUUUCCACCGAACAUCCGAGAUCGGCCGCGUGUGCUUGUGCGACCGUUGCACACUUGCCUGCAGUUUUCCGCAGCGACGGCGAAGGGAACUCAUCAGGUUGCAAAAAGUGACUCGUCUCGGUCGCAUGUGGAGGAAAUGUUUUGUGAAUCCGUUCCAAGACCGCACAAGUGCAUUAUCCGCGGAUGAGGUUCUGCAGUUUUCUGGUAAUUACAUAAGAUUCCGAGGAGAAUUAGUGGAAAAGCUGCCCGGGCUGAUAAGAUGUGAAAUGCAGUGAAUUUUUUGGGUUUUUAUUCGGGAAAAUAUAAAAAGUGACGCAUCGCGAGUUGCCCGUUUCAGAUUUGUGCUUUGUGAAGAUGCGGCCGCAGUAGAAAUCAGAGAAAGGAAAUAGUUGCGAGUGCCAGAAGUGCCUUUUCCCUUGCGGAUGUUAUGCUGGAGCGACGCUCUGGCUUCUACUCUAAACCGUCGUUUCUAGCCAUCGAAGUGGCGAGCGGAAAUAGUUCGCUCUAAGUCUAGGUGUGUGGAUGCAAUGCGAAAAAGUAUGACAUGGGCUCGUGUACCAGGCGACACUUCCUGUUGUCAACAUGCUUCCUGCAAUUGAUUACAAUUGUCGAAAGACAAGUUUUCGAUUUUCUGGGUUACAUGUGGGCACCGAUCAUAGCAAAUUUUUUUCAUAUAAUUUUCGUAAUAUUUGGAUUUUACGGAGCAUAUCAUUUUCGAGCUAAAUAUAUAGUAGCUUAUUUAAUAUGGAAUUUUAUUUGGAUUGGAUGGAAUGUGUUCCUAAUUUGCUUCUAUUUAGAUGUCGGCGUUCUAGACAAAGACAGCGAUAUAUUAAACUUGGGUACAGGUAGCGUAUCAUGGUUCGAAGUGAAUGGAUAUGGUUGCAUACCAACUUAUCCUACAAACAUAACAAAUGAAGAUCUCUCCCGUCCAGUUCGUCCAGAGCAAGUUGAUAGUUGCUUGAUUGAUUAUCCAAUAGUUGAAGUUAUACAUUCAGGAAUACAAUGUAUUUUAGCGGUUCUUGCCAUUUUGGGCGCUAUUCUAAUAGCAGUAAUAUUUUUAGAUGAAGACGAUCGGUUCGAUUUCAUGGGUGGUGAUGCGAAAAGUCCACAACAUACCUGUGUACACCCGAUACUCUGUUCGUAAAUACGUAAGACUGCAAAGGAUGUUUAUCGUAAAAGAACAAAUUUAACUCAAAUUCAGUGUGAGGAAAGCUCAUAAGAAAAGUAAACACCGUCAAUCGUUUUAUUCGAUUGAAUUCGGGCCAGCGGCUGAUACGAUACGCGGACGUCCCGAUAAUAUAUUAGACUAUCAAGAUGGGAAUGAGCAUGGCGAUGCCCAG
This 1436-nucleotide unclassified non-coding RNA is filed under the name Hermetia illucens (black soldier fly). RNAcentral describes it as "sodium/potassium-transporting ATPase subunit beta-1- interacting protein, transcript variant X2". The record is from RNAcentral. Lineage: Eukaryota; Metazoa; Arthropoda; Insecta; Diptera; Stratiomyidae.